GACGAACGCUGGCGGCGUGCCUAAUACAUGCAAGUUGAGCGCUGAAGGUUGGUACUUGUACCAACUGGAUGAGCAGCGAACGGGUGAGUAACGCGUGGGGAAUCUGCCUUUGAGCGGGGGACAACAUUUGGAAACGAAUGCUAAUACCGCAUAACAACUUUAAACACAAGUUUUAAGUUUGAAAGAUGCAAUUGCAUCACUCAAAGAUGAUCCCGCGUUGUAUUAGCUAGUUGGUGAGGUAAAGGCUCACCAAGGCGAUGAUACAUAGCCGACCUGAGAGGGUGAUCGGCCACAUUGGGACUGAGACACGGCCCAAACUCCUACGGGAGGCAGCAGUAGGGAAUCUUCGGCAAUGGACGAAAGGCUGACCGAGCAACGCCGCGUGAGUGAAGAAGGUUUUCGGAUCGUAAAACUCUGUUGGUAGAGAAGAACGUUGGUGAGAGUGGAAAGCUCAUCAAGUGACGGUAACUAACCAGAAAGGGACGGCUAACUACGUG
RNAcentral lists this ribosomal RNA (497 nucleotides) under uncultured bacterium. Its description in RNAcentral is "partial 16S ribosomal RNA". It matches the Rfam family "Bacterial small subunit ribosomal RNA", at positions 28 to 507 of the family's 1533-position model. The record is from RNAcentral.